GCUGAUACCAGAGUACCACAGGACACGAGGAAUCCGGUGGGAAGCAGGAGGGACCACCCUCCAAGGCUAAAUACGAUCCAGUGACCGAUAGCGCAUAGUACCGUGAGGGAAAGGUGAAAAGAACCCCGGGAGGGGAGUGAAAAAGAACCUGAAACCCUGUGCUUACAAGCAGAGAGAGCACAAUUAAGUGUGAUCUCGUACUUUUUGUAGAACGGACCGGCGAGUUACGUUAUGCAGCGAGGUUAAGGACUGAAGGUCCGGAGCCGAAGCGAGAGCGAGUCUGAAUAGGGCGUAUAGUUGCAUGACGUAGACCCGAAACCGGGUGACCUAUCCAUGGGCAGGUUGAAGUGGAAGUAAAAUUUCAUGGAGGACCGAACCAGACGUCUGUUGAAAAAGGCGGGGAUGACCUGUGGAUAGCGGAGAAAUUCCAAUCGAACCCGGAGAUAGCUGGUUCUCCUCGAAAUAGCUUUAGGGCUAGCCUCGCAUUAGUUUACCGGAGGUAGAGCACUGAAUGGUCUAGGGGGCCUCACCGCCUACCGAAACCUAUCAAACUGCGAAUGCCGGAUAAAUGAUGUGCGGGAGUCAGGCCGCGAGAGAUAAGUUCCGCGGUCAAAAGGGGAACACCCCAGAUCGUCUGCUAAGGUCCCCAAGUACGCGUUAAGUGGGAAAGGAUGUUGGAUUGCACAGACAACCAGGAUGUUGGCUUAGAAGCAGCCACACAUUCAAAGAGUGCGUAAUAGCUCACUGGUCGAGUGAUCCAGCGCCGAAAAUGUAACGGGGCUAAAACGCGACACCGAAGCAGCGGGAUGCGUAAGCAUCGGUAGAGGAGCAUUGUGUGAGGGUUGAAGCCAGAGCGGGAGCACUGGUGGACUUCACAGAAGAGAGAAUGCCGGUAUGAGUAGCGAGACCCAUGCGAGAAACAUGGGCGUCGAAGGCCCAAGGUUUCCUGGGGAAGGUUCAUCCACCCAGGGUAAGUCGGGACCUAAGCCGAGGACUGAGGUGGUAGGCGAUGGACAGCAGGUAGAGAUUCCUGCACCACUUACACUUGUUUGACGAAGCAGUGACACAGAAGGAUAGGACGAGCGCGGUGAUGGUCAACCGCGUAGGCGGCACGAGGCUGGGGAGCAGUUAAGUACACUUCCCAAGAAGGCUGAGUGCUGACAGGACCGAAAAAGAGUAGGGAAGCGUCUGAGUUCACGCUGGCGAGAAAAGCUGCUAAGGAGAGUGUGAGUGCCCGUACCGGAAACCGACGCAGGUGGGCGAGGAGAGAAUCCUGAGACGGACGGGAGAACUCUUGUUAAGGAACUCGGCAAAAUGACCCCGUAACUUCGGGAGAAGGGGUGCCUCGAAAGAGGCCGCAGAGAAUAGUCACAAGCGACUGUUUAGCAAAAACACAGGUAUCUGCGAAAGCGAGAGCUGACGUAAAGGUGCUGACGCCUGCCCGGUGCUGGAAGGUUAAGGGGAAGUGUUAGGGGAAACCCGAAGCAGAGAACCGAAGCCCCAGUAAACGGCGGCCGUAACUAUAACGGUCCUAAGGUAGCGAAAUUCCUUGUCGGGUAAGUUCCGACCCGCACGAAUGGCGUAACGACUUGUGAGCUGUCUCAACA
This 1607-nucleotide ribosomal RNA is filed under the name metagenome. RNAcentral's name for it is "bacterial LSU rRNA". It matches the Rfam family "Bacterial large subunit ribosomal RNA", at positions 400 to 2026 of the family's 2925-position model. The record is from RNAcentral.